Molecule: ribosomal RNA, 595 nt
Filed under: Hygrocybe rubroalba
Lineage: Eukaryota; Fungi; Basidiomycota; Agaricomycetes; Agaricales; Hygrophoraceae
Description: eukaryotic LSU rRNA
Rfam family: Eukaryotic large subunit ribosomal RNA
Source: RNAcentral
AGGAUUCCCCUAGUAACUGCGAGUGAAGAGGGAAAAGCUCAAAUUUAAAAUCUGGCAUUCUGUUGGAUGUCCGAGUUGUAAUCUAGAGAAGAGUCUUCCGUGCUGGAACCGUGUACAAGUCUCUUGGAAUGGAGCGUCGUAGAGGGUGACAAUCCCGUCUCUGACACGGACUUCUGGUGCUCUUGUGAUGCCCUCUCAAAGAGUCGAGUUGUUUGGGAAUGCAGCUCAAAAUGGGUGGUAAAUUCCAUCUAAAGCUAAAUAUAGGCGAGAGACCGAUAGCGAACAAGUACCGUGAGGGAAAGAUGAAAAGAACUUUGAAAAGAGAGUUAAACAGUACGUGAAAUUGUUGAAAGGGAAACGAUUCAAGUCAGCCAUGUCGUACAGGAAUCAACCCCUUUCCCGAGGGGCUCACUUUCUGGUUUGACGGGUCAGCAUCAAUUUUGACCUUUGGACAAAGGCAAGAGGAAUGUGGCAUCUUUGGAUGUGUUAUAGCUUCUUGUCGCAUGUGAAGGUCAGGAUUGAGGAACUCGACAUGCCCUAUGGGUCGGGGCCUUGUGCCCACGUAACAUGUCUCGGAUGCUGGCGUAAUGGCUUG